UCCCUGGUGGCUCAGAUGGUAAAGCGUCUGUCUACAAUAUGGCAGACCCAGGUUCGAGCCCUGGGUUGGGAA
RNAcentral lists this transfer RNA (72 nucleotides) under Ovis aries (sheep). It matches the Rfam family "tRNA". From Rfam's summary of the family: Transfer RNA (tRNA) molecules are approximately 80 nucleotides in length. Their secondary structure includes four short double-helical elements and three loops (D, anti-codon, and T loops). Lineage: Eukaryota; Metazoa; Chordata; Mammalia; Artiodactyla; Bovidae. The record is from Rfam by way of RNAcentral.